Pelobates cultripes (western spadefoot toad) is the source of this 397-nucleotide non-coding RNA. Lineage: Eukaryota; Metazoa; Chordata; Amphibia; Anura; Pelobatidae. The record is from the annotation of a GenBank genome assembly.
UCCUCUACAUUUUCUAUAAACACACAGCUAUCUGUCAUUCCUCUACCCUCUCUAUAAACACACAUUUAUCUGUCAUUCCUCUACCCUCUCUAUAAAACACACAGCUAUCCUCUCUAUAAAACACACAGCUAUCUGUUAUUCCGCUACCCUCUCUAUGAAACACACAGCUAUCUGUCAUUCCGCUACCCUCUCUAUGAAACACACAGCUAUCUGUCAUUCCGCUACCCUCUCUAUGAAACACACAGCUAUCUGUCAUUCCGUUACCCUCUCUAUGAAACACACAGCUAUCUGUCAUUCCAAAACCCCCUUUAAAUAACACACAGCUAUCUACCAUUCCACUACCCUUGCUAUAAACACAUCUAUUUCUAUAAUACGCAUGUUUUUGUCUAUUCUAUCU